RNAcentral lists this ribosomal RNA (1060 nucleotides) under human gut metagenome. RNAcentral's name for it is "bacterial SSU rRNA". It matches the Rfam family "Bacterial small subunit ribosomal RNA", at positions 89 to 1162 of the family's 1533-position model. The record is from RNAcentral.
UUUCUAGCGGCGGACGGGUGAGUAACGCGUGAGCAACCUGCCUUUAUCAGGGGGAUAACGCAUCGAAAGAUGUGCUAAUACCGCGUAAGACCACAGCUUCACAUGGAGCAGGGGUCAAAGGAGCAAUCCGGAUAAAGAUGGGCUCGCGUCCGAUUAGCUAGUUGGUGAGAUAACAGCCCACCAAGGCGACGAUCGGUAGCCGACCUGAGAGGGUGAUCGGCCACAUUGGAACUGAGAAACGGUCCAGACUCCUACGGGAGGCAGCAGUGGGGAAUAUUGGGCAAUGGGCGAAAGCCUGACCCAGCAACGCCGCGUGAGGGAAGAAGGGUUUCGGCUCGUAAACCUCUGUCCUAUGGGACGAAGGAAGUGACGGUACCAUAGGAGGAAGCCCCGGCUAACUACGUGCCAGCAGCCGCGGUAAUACGUAGGGGGCGAGCGUUGUCCGGAAUGAUUGGGCGUAAAGGGCGCGUAGGCGGCCUGCUAAGUCUGGAGUGAAAGUCCUGCUUUCAAGGUGGGAAUUGCUUUGGAUACUGGUGGGCUGGAGUGCAGGAGAGGAAAGCGGAAUUACCGGUGUAGCGGUGAAAUGCGUAGAGAUCGGUAGGAACACCAGUGGCGAAGGCGGCUUUCUGGACUGAAACUGACGCUGAGGCGCGAAAGCGUGGGGAGCAAACAGGAUUAGAUACCCUGGUAGUCCACGCGGUAAACGAUGAAUGCUAGGUGUAGGAGGUAUCGACCCCUUCUGUGCCGCAGUAAACACAAUAAGCAUUCCGCCUGGGGAGUACGGCCGCAAGGUUGAAACUCAAAGGAAUUGACGGGGGCCCGCACAAGCAGCGGAGCAUGUGGUUUAAUUCGAAGCAACGCGAAGAACCUUACCAGGUCUUGACAUCCGUGUAAAGCCGCAGAGAUGCGGUGUGAGCUUGCUCAAUACGAGACAGGUGGUGCAUGGUUGUCGUCAGCUCGUGUCGUGAGAUGUUGGGUUAAGUCCCGCAACGAGCGCAACCCUUAUCGUCCGUUACUAACAGGUAAAGCUGAGGACUCAGACGAGACCGCCGGGGACAAC